CCUACGGGAGGCAGCAGUGAGGAAUAUUGGUCAAUGGGAGAGAUCCUGAACCAGCCAAGCCGCGUGAGGGAAGACGGCCCUAUGGGUUGUAAACCUCUUUUGUCGGAGAACAAAACCCGGGACGUGUCCCGGACUGCGUGUAUCCGAAGAAAAAGCAUCGGCUAACUCCGUGCCAGCAGCCGCGGUAAUACGGAGGAUGCGAGCGUUAUCCGGAUUUAUUGGGUUUAAAGGGUGCGUAGGCGGUCCGUUAAGUCAGCGGGAAAAUUGCGGGGCGCAACCCCGUCGAGCCGUUGAAACGGGCAGACUUGAGUUGGCGAGAAGUACGCGGAAUGCGCGGUGUAGCGGUGAAAUGCAUAGAUAUCGCGCAGAACUCCGAUUGCGAAGGCAGCGUACCGGCGCCAGACUGACGCUGAGGCACAAAAGCGUGGGGAUCGAACAGGAUUAGAUACCCCAGUAGUC
This 459-nucleotide ribosomal RNA is filed under the name uncultured bacterium. Its description in RNAcentral is "partial 16S ribosomal RNA". It matches the Rfam family "Bacterial small subunit ribosomal RNA", at positions 338 to 795 of the family's 1533-position model. The record is from RNAcentral.